This 460-nucleotide ribosomal RNA is filed under the name uncultured bacterium. RNAcentral's name for it is "partial 16S ribosomal RNA". It matches the Rfam family "Bacterial small subunit ribosomal RNA", at positions 338 to 795 of the family's 1533-position model. The record is from RNAcentral.
CCUACGGGAGGCAGCAGUGAGGAAUAUUGGUCAAUGGGCGAGAGCCUGAACCAGCCAAGUCGCGUGAAGGAUGAAGGCCCUAUGGUUUGUAAACUUCUUUUAUAUGGGAAUAAAGUGAGGCACGUGUUCCUUUUUGUAUGUACCAUAUGAAUAAGCAUCGGCUAACUCCGUGCCAGCAGCCGCGGUAAUACGGAGGAUGCGAGCGUUAUCCGGAUUUAUUGGGUUUAAAGGGUGCGUAGGUGGUUUGUUAAGUCAGCGGUGAAAGUUUGUGGCUCAACCAUAAAAUUGCCGUUGAAACUGGUAGACUUGAGUAUAUUUGAGGUAGGCGGAAUGCGUGGUGUAGCGGUGAAAUGCAUAGAUAUCACGCAGAACUCCGAUUGCGAAGGCAGCUUACUAAACUAUAACUGACACUGAGGCACGAAAGCGUGGGGAUCAAACAGGAUUAGAUACCCUUGUAGUC